RNAcentral lists this ribosomal RNA (925 nucleotides) under Exorista sabahensis. RNAcentral describes it as "partial 16S rRNA". Lineage: Eukaryota; Metazoa; Arthropoda; Insecta; Diptera; Tachinidae. The record is from RNAcentral.
UAAAAUUAUUUUAUAUAAUAUAUUAGAAAUGAAAUGUUAUUCGUUUUUAAAGGUAUCUAGUUCUUUAAGAAAUAAAUUUAAUUUAGAAAUUUUAUAUUAUUUAAUUUAAUAUAUUAAUUAAAUAAUUAUUUAAUUUUAAUAUUUUAUGGGAUAAGCUAUAAAAUAAAAUUUUUAAAAAUUAUUAAUAGUAUUAAUAAAUAUAAGCUUAUAAAUAGUUAUUAUUAAUGAAAAUGUUAUAAUUUAUUAUGUAUAUAUAUAUAUAUUAUUUAUUUAUAUUUUAAAUUUUUAUUAAAGUAUUUAUUUUAUUUAAAAAAAUUAAUAUAUAAUGAUAAAAUUAGUAUAUUUUUUGUGUUUAUAUAAAUUUAAAUGAUAAGUUUUUAUAAAGAAUUUGGCAAAAAUUAAUAUUCGCCUGUUUAACAAAAACAUGUCUUUAUGUAUUUUUUUAUAAAGUCUGACCUGCCCACUGAAGUUUAAUUUAAAUGGCUGCAGUAUUUUGACUGUACAAAGGUAGCAUAAUAAUUAGUCUUUUAAUUGAAGGCUGGUAUGAAUGGUUGGACGAGAUAUUAACUGUUUCAUAAAAAUUUUUAUUAGAAUUUUAUUUUUUAGUUAAAAAGCUAAAAUUUAUUUAAAAGACGAGAAGACCCUAUAAAUCUUUAUAUUUAAAUUAUAAUAAUUUUUUGUAAUUAUUUUAUUAUUAUAAUUAAUAAUAUUUUAUUGGGGUGAUAUUAAAAUUUAAUUAACUUUUUUUUAUUAUUAUAACAUUAAUUUAUGUAUAAUUGAUCCAAUAUUAUUGAUUAAUAAAAUAAGUUACUUUAGGGAUAACAGCGUAAUUUUAUUGGAGAGUUCUUAUUAAUAAUAAAGAUUGCGACCUCGAUGUUGGAUUAAGAUAUAAUUUUAGGUGUAGUAGCUUAAAUUUUAAGUCUGU